Molecule: ribosomal RNA, 513 nt
Filed under: Streptomyces sp. 310A09
Lineage: Bacteria; Bacillati; Actinomycetota; Actinomycetes; Kitasatosporales; Streptomycetaceae
Description: bacterial SSU rRNA
Rfam family: Bacterial small subunit ribosomal RNA
Source: RNAcentral
UAGUGGCGAACGGGUGAGUAACACGUGGGCAAUCUGCCCUUCACUCUGGGACAAGCCCUGGAAACGGGGUCUAAUACCGGAUAAUACUCCUGCCUGCAUGGGCGGGGGUUGAAAGCUCCGGCGGUGAAGGAUGAGCCCGCGGCCUAUCAGCUUGUUGGUGGGGUAAUGGCCCACCAAGGCGACGACGGGUAGCCGGCCUGAGAGGGCGACCGGCCACACUGGGACUGAGACACGGCCCAGACUCCUACGGGAGGCAGCAGUGGGGAAUAUUGCACAAUGGGCGAAAGCCUGAUGCAGCGACGCCGCGUGAGGGAUGACGGCCUUCGGGUUGUAAACCUCUUUCAGCAGGGAAGAAGCGAAAGUGACGGUACCUGCAGAAGAAGCGCCGGCUAACUACGUGCCAGCAGCCGCGGUAAUACGUAGGGCGCAAGCGUUGUCCGGAAUUAUUGGGCGUAAAGAGCUCGUAGGCGGCUUGUCACGUCGGAUGUGAAAGCCCGAGGCUUAACCUCGGGU